This 1525-nucleotide ribosomal RNA is filed under the name Escherichia coli. Its description in RNAcentral is "partial 23S ribosomal RNA". It matches the Rfam family "Bacterial large subunit ribosomal RNA", at positions 1351 to 2854 of the family's 2925-position model. Lineage: Bacteria; Pseudomonadati; Pseudomonadota; Gammaproteobacteria; Enterobacterales; Enterobacteriaceae. The record is from RNAcentral.
GUUCCUGUCCAACGUUAAUCGGGGCAGGGUGAGUCGACCCCUAAGGCGAGGCCGAAAGGCGUAGUCGAUGGGAAACAGGUUAAUAUUCCUGUACUUGGUGUUACUGCGAAGGGGGGACGGAGAAGGCUAUGUUGGCCGGGCGACGGUUGUCCCGGUUUAAGCGUGUAGGCUGGUUUUCCAGGCAAAUCCGGAAAAUCAAGGCUGAGGCGUGAUGACGAGGCACUACGGUGCUGAAGCAACAAAUGCCCUGCUUCCAGGAAAAGCCUCUAAGCAUCAGGUAACAUCAAAUCGUACCCCAAACCGACACAGGUGGUCAGGUAGAGAAUACCAAGGCGCUUGAGAGAACUCGGGUGAAGGAACUAGGCAAAAUGGUGCCGUAACUUCGGGAGAAGGCACGCUGAUAUGUAGGUGAAGCGACUUGCUCGUGGAGCUGAAAUCAGUCGAAGAUACCAGCUGGCUGCAACUGUUUAUUAAAAACACAGCACUGUGCAAACACGAAAGUGGACGUAUACGGUGUGACGCCUGCCCGGUGCCGGAAGGUUAAUUGAUGGGGUUAGCGGUAACGCGAAGCUCUUGAUCGAAGCCCCGGUAAACGGCGGCCGUAACUAUAACGGUCCUAAGGUAGCGAAAUUCCUUGUCGGGUAAGUUCCGACCUGCACGAAUGGCGUAAUGAUGGCCAGGCUGUCUCCACCCGAGACUCAGUGAAAUUGAACUCGCUGUGAAGAUGCAGUGUACCCGCGGCAAGACGGAAAGACCCCGUGAACCUUUACUAUAGCUUGACACUGAACAUUGAGCCUUGAUGUGUAGGAUAGGUGGGAGGCUUUGAAGUGUGGACGCCAGUCUGCAUGGAGCCGACCUUGAAAUACCACCCUUUAAUGUUUGAUGUUCUAACGUUGGCCCCUGAUCGGGGUUGCGGACAGUGUCUGGUGGGUAGUUUGACUGGGGCGGUCUCCUCCUAAAGAGUAACGGAGGAGCACGAAGGUUGGCUAAUCCUGGUCGGACAUCAGGAGGUUAGUGCAAUGGCAUAAGCCAGCUUGACUGCGAGCGUGACGGCGCGAGCAGGUGCGAAAGCAGGUCAUAGUGAUCCGGUGGUUCUGAAUGGAAGGGCCAUCGCUCAACGGAUAAAAGGUACUCCGGGGAUAACAGGCUGAUACCGCCCAAGAGUUCAUAUCGACGGCGGUGUUUGGCACCUCGAUGUCGGCUCAUCACAUCCUGGGGCUGAAGUAGGUCCCAAGGGUAUGGCUGUUCGCCAUUUAAAGUGGUACGCGAGCUGGGUUUAGAACGUCGUGAGACAGUUCGGUCCCUAUCUGCCGUGGGCGCUGGAGAACUGAGGGGGGCUGCUCCUAGUACGAGAGGACCGGAGUGGACGCAUCACUGGUGUUCGGGUUGUCAUGCCAAUGGCACUGCCCGGUAGCUAAAUGCGGAAGAGAUAAGUGCUGAAAGCAUCUAAGCACGAAACUUGCCCCGAGAUGAGUUCUCCCUGACUCCUUGAGAGUCCUGAAGGAACGUUGAAGACGACGACGUU